Molecule: long non-coding RNA, 600 nt
Organism: Cyprinus carpio carpio
Lineage: Eukaryota; Metazoa; Chordata; Actinopteri; Cypriniformes; Cyprinidae
Source: Ensembl
AAUGAAACUGUCAAACGAGUUCAGAAAUCCAAUUCAGUGUUUUCUUGCGUGAUUUCAGAGUAUCACAGCUCUAUCAAUGGCCUCAAACAGGAGCUUGCGGAUUCCAUCAUGUACUCCGUCAGAGGACACCCUUUAAAGAGGGAAGAGUCAUCUGCCUCCCGUGGUCUUCCAACGCACAGACCACCAGGGGAAGUGAGGGAGCGAAAAAGAAAGCAAGAGAAAGAUAACUGAGGAGAUUGGACAGUCGGGAGCUUUUGAAGAGAAGACAGACCAAAUUCUGUCCUCAAGAACAGCGAUAACGGACGUGGGGUCCCACUGGGGGAUGGGACAGAGAAGUAUAUAUGAAAUAUGAAAGAAGAUGACAGUUUUAUCUGUUUGCAGAACAUGUGGACAGUGUGGACUGUUGUCCUUUCACCUGGAGCCAAGACUCAUGAACUACAUGGUUGAGAGUGUUGGGAAAUAUGCAUCCUGUUUUACGGUCGGCAAACUUCUGUUGACUGAAUACAAUAGUUAAAAAUCGGAGGCUUUUUCAGGCCAUUCAUGGAGGUUCUUUGUAUGAAAAAGGUCAAAUAAAGGGUGUUUUGACAAUAUUUUGGUGGC